AAGAUACUAGUAAUAAAAAUUACACUGCCUUGUCAAGGCAGAGUUGUAGGUUAGACCCCUGCGUAUCUUG
Molecule: transfer RNA, 70 nt
Filed under: Dysomma anguillare (shortbelly eel)
Lineage: Eukaryota; Metazoa; Chordata; Actinopteri; Anguilliformes; Synaphobranchidae
Also listed under: 1 other name
Description: tRNA-Asp
Rfam family: tRNA
About the family: Transfer RNA (tRNA) molecules are approximately 80 nucleotides in length. Their secondary structure includes four short double-helical elements and three loops (D, anti-codon, and T loops).
Source: RNAcentral